UUUGGAACCGCCUAGACUUUCCUGCUCUGCCAGUUGGAAAUGCCAAGAAUCUAAACAUCCAAGAACUUUGGGGAGCUCCAGACCAAAUCAGGAAGAAUAUCAACUCCUGGGUUGAAAAUCAGACCGAGGGACCAGAUUUGACAUCCUGGUCUCUGUUAAAUUGAAGCACCUGUAAGUUAAAUAAAAAGACAAGUGAGUAUACUUUACAGAAAAGUAAUCAUAUGGAAUACACAUCUGUACAUGCAAGUCGGUCAUUCCUACAAUUGCAGUAUAUAUCAUUAACUAAACGAGGGGGCUUUGACUUGGCAUAAAUGAUGCAUUAAUUAAACGAAAAGAUUUAGUCAAGAGCUGCUUUUAAAUACAUUUUAAAAGUCUAAUUUAAGUUGCUAGUCUUUGCAUUUAAUACUUUUUAUAGUAAAUUGAGGUUAAUGUUGGAAUAUCCUUAGGUAAAAUUAUCUUAUUUUCCAUAUUUUCUCUUUUACUCAUGGUUCUUUUAAAAAGAAACUUUGCCUCUUCAAGACCAUAGUUUAGAUAAUUUAAGUAAAAGAUGUCACUGUCCCAGAUAUUUGGAAUAUUAAAGGAUUUUAGUUUGUUUUUGUUUUUUCCCCACUAAUUAAAUACCUCAUUUCUCUGUCUACCACCACUUGGCAUAUAUAGACAUAAUCUUUGUGU
Molecule: long non-coding RNA, 672 nt
Organism: Carlito syrichta (Philippine tarsier)
Lineage: Eukaryota; Metazoa; Chordata; Mammalia; Primates; Tarsiidae
Exons: 3
Source: RefSeq, a predicted model, not a curated record